Canis lupus familiaris (dog) is the source of this 3392-nucleotide long non-coding RNA. RefSeq lists it as uncharacterized. The record is from RefSeq and is a predicted model, not a curated record. The transcript is spliced from 2 exons. NCBI's taxonomy places the organism in Eukaryota, Metazoa, Chordata, Mammalia, Carnivora, Canidae.
UCUUACAAACUGCUCAGGUCAUCAGGUCACAAGCAUAUUUCCCUGGUACUCAUCUAAUCGAUUACAAUCCCAAGCGAGUGGGGUGGAGGGUCCUCUCUAGUCAUCACCACAGAACGCAGUCCGACACUGAACACAGAAGACGUAGCAGCUGAGCAAGACUUGAACCACUGGGCACAGGAAGUGGCUGGUCAGCCCAGUGGAGGUGGCGGCUGAGCCUUGCAGUGCGAGGGACAGGGACAUUGCCUGGGAAAGUGGUUUGCCCACCAAAGGAAGCUGGAGUGCCUCGGGGGGGAAGAGUGGAAUUUUGAGAGAAGUGCAAUAACAGAGGAAUGAGCACCUGGUGGAAAUGGAAGUGGUGCUGUCGUGUGCUCAUCUCUGGAAGUCGUGAAUGGAGGAACACGACUCAGCUGCAGGUCCUGGGAAGUGUUGAGGGGCUUCUAGUUAGUUCUAGGUAGAGGGAAGAACACUGCCAAAGGGAAGCAGAGCAGGAAGGGAAAUUGCUGUAUGGGUCCUGGCUUCUCAGCUCAUGUGAGACAUUCCCUGGGGACGUCCGGAUGAAGUGGGGUGGAUGGAAGGAGAAAUUUUGUAGAAGAAAUUCUCAAAGAGCAGGUGGGACAAGUGUCUAUGAAUGUGGCUUAUUGAUAUUGUGAAAUGUAAUUUUAUUUUAUUUAUUUUUAUUUAUUUUUUUUGUGUGUGUGUGAAAUGUAAUUUUAAUUUCUGAGUUGGAGUCCUCUGGAGAAACAAGGCCAUAGGACUGUAUGCAGCUUUCAUAAAGCCUCAAAUAUCAUCGAGGUUGGUUGGAUUUUUGACACCUACAAUCAGCCCAAAUCUGAAUUCACCAGCGUGGUUCCACCGAAGCCUUCUGGGCUCCAUUCCACAGUGCAGUACGAGUUAAGGUCUUUCUGAUCGCAGCAUAUUGUGGACUGGUAUUUGUAUAGCUUCAUUUUGCUGCGUAGGUUCACAACCAAGCUGUGAUCUGCAUGAGAUCCAAGUAGGGAGCUAGUUCAUUUGAAAAGAAUUAAGAUCCAGUGGAGAAUUAGCGGAUGAAAACAAAAGGUUUGCUUAACCAAGUGAAGUGCUUAUAGAGCAACAAUUACGUGUACAAGUUUUAUCCUUCAUGUUUCUUAGUCACGAGUGCUGAUCCAUGCAGCAGUUCUCUUACGAGGCUCCAAAAAAUACUAAUUACAGGAGGAGGGUUAUUCUAUCUGCUAUAACUAUAUUCUGACAGAUUACACCAUAAAGAAGUUUACCAGGGUGAAUGGUCCAACGCCUACUCAGCACACUAGCAAGAGCAGUUCUCUUCUAGAAACCUGAGCUCCGAUGAAAGCGUCUUCCAAGGUUCCAAAGCACAGCACCUUGGAUAAAUCCAGCGAAGCCCACUUUUUUUGGGGAAAUAUUGGCUGAGUUGCAUUGCAUUGGUACCAUAAGACUUAUUUGAGUUACAACAAGGCUUGAAUGUCUGAAGAAGUCCUUAGAGUAGAUCUGACUUCUAUUUGCAGUUCUAAGAAAUGAGGGUUUUUUAUUAUUAUUCUUCUUUUUUUAUUAUUUUUAUUAUUAUUUUAUUAUUUUUUAAAUUAUUCUUUUAUUCUUCUUAUUAUUAUUCUUUUAAUCUCAUUAAUUGUACGAUGUACGUGUUCUGAUUCACUUCUAUCUUGGCGAGGGUUUGAUGAAAUAUGUUAUUAGUGUCAUUUAAAAUAGUGAACUUGUUUAGCACCUGCAUAAUUUUAAUCUUUGCAUGCAAGUAAUCUUUGAAAAGUUGAGGUGGGAAUGAAAAUUAAUAUCUCAUGGUCUCUUGUUCUGGUCUGAGGUUUAAAAACAAAGAGUGAUAAGAAUUUAAUUGUUAUAGUGAUUGACUCUUCUCAAUCACUAUCACUAGUAAGGCAUGUAGAAAGAGAUGGAGGAAAUAAACUCUUAAAUAAGAGCAAAUGGGGACUAUGGAGAUUGGCAGGUUCCAGAAUGUUAACUGAGGUUCACUGGUUUCAAAAUAAUUCCUUCCCCCAGAAGUCGAAGGUGAUUUUAUACUUAUGGGUAAAUACCAAGAAGAGUUCAGAUACUACAAAAGAAGAUUGUAUGAAGAUUUCCUAGAUGAACAUGGCUGUCGUCUGAACCAUGCUGACCAUGGGCCUGGGGGUAUGGCAAAUUCCUUUCAGCAAAAUAGUAGGAUCUCUGGCCCAGAGUGAGCCAGCAACUUUAGGGGCAUGUCAUGAAAAGACAAGAGGCUCUUCAAAAUUAAAAUUUAGGCUCAAGGAUACAAUUUAAUCACCAAUCUGGCUUGGCAAUCUGUUAAUGAGCUCAGUAGGAAUGUUCUAAGAAUAUGGAUGAGAAAAAGGAAAUGCCAAGGGAACAGAGAGAAAAUACCAGAUGGAGAACAAGGAACCCAGGACUCAUAUCGGUAAUAGCAGCUUAGUCCUAAAAACUCGUUAAGAAUCUUUUCAAGGUUCCUAUUAACAGGUUUUGGAGACUCUGCCCAAACUCUUACAUGGAAAGGAACCGGCUUGAAAUGAGGAGGAAGGGUGCGUACAAAGGCCAUCAACAUGAACCAACUGAUUUGUACAUCUAACUGGCUGCUACCUGUAACUACUACUUGGGAUAUUGUGUUGGCUAUUUAUUGGGUUUAAGCAGGUAUUCAACUACGAUGAGUUAAAUUUGCAGAUAUUAGGUGAUUUUCGAGGGACCUGAGACCAGAAGCUUCAUUUCUCACUGAACCUUCCCUUGAUUGCUUUUACGUGAUCUAAAUUCUGUGGCUUGUUGGCAACGGUCCAUCUCUGCUCUCACAGAAUAUGUGCCUGUGGUAUUUGAUAGAUAACGUGGCUUAAGGUUGUGAAAUCUUAUUUUUAUCAUGAAUUUAUGCUCAUCCACCACCCCCCCCACACACACACACACACACACACAACCUUAUCUUCAGUUAUCCCCAACUGCGGACCGUUUCUCUAGGAAACGCUGACUUUGGCUGACUUUUGUUCACAGUUUCAGCUGACUUCGGGUGCCUUUGAUCAUUCAUUUUCAUGAUGUUCCAACCUGAAGCCAGAGGCUUAGACAAGGGAAGACUCUGGUUUGUGGAGACCUGGAGUCCUGAAAAGAGUGCUGAGUCUGGCCUGAGGGACGAAAUAGAGUGUAGGGGCCCCGGAGGAAGCAAUAAGAAUAGGGGAACAAAUAGCCAAAUAAGAGGUGACAUCUGGAGGGGACCGCCCCCUAGGGAUCAGGCCUAACAAAUGUAGUAAAGCGUAGCUUCCAUCACUCACACAACGCGUGGAUGUGAACUUAUUCCUGGUGGUUUUCCACCUCACCCCACCCCUCCUUUUUGGGUUACCUUUCUGACGUGGCCUUUGGAGGCAUUUCAGUGUGCUGUUUGAUUGCUCUGUGCUGAAUAAAGACAUUCACAGUUUCCCAUC